GAGGGCACAGCUCAGUGGUAGAGCACAUGCUUAGCAUGCACGAGGCCCUGGGUUCACUCCCCGGUACCUCCA
RNAcentral lists this transfer RNA (72 nucleotides) under Camelus bactrianus (Bactrian camel). It matches the Rfam family "tRNA". From Rfam's summary of the family: Transfer RNA (tRNA) molecules are approximately 80 nucleotides in length. Their secondary structure includes four short double-helical elements and three loops (D, anti-codon, and T loops). RNAcentral also lists the same sequence under 1 other name. The record is from Rfam by way of RNAcentral. Lineage: Eukaryota; Metazoa; Chordata; Mammalia; Artiodactyla; Camelidae.